CUUUCCCUAUUUCAGAGCUCACCACUGUAUUCUAAACAGAAGCCAAUAGAGGGAGAAAAACAAAGCCAAGUGCAAAAGCUGUGGGCACUGAAAGUUUUGCUCCACCGGCCGCGCAGCACCCACUUGGGGUCGGGCUUUGGGACUUGGGGGAGUCAGGAGCAGGCGGGGGCUGGGGAGAGGACGAGGCCCUGGGGAGGGGCUGGAAAAGGCUUUUCACAGCGACUGGCACUUGAUAUUUCCAAGUCUUCUGGAUGUCACUCACCGGAAACCAGACCCUGCGGUGCGAAGACUCAGGACUCUGUGAUGUGGUGAGCUGGCCUUAUUCACCUUCUCCAUACCUUUCGAGGAUUUGGAUGCGUCUCUUGCACCUAUCUUAGCCGUCUUUCUUCCAUCCUGAAGAGACAUGCAUCUCUGUGGUGGCUCCUCCCUCCCCAAGGUCAUCGUGGCUGACUUGGGACCUUUCCCAGCUCUGUGUGUCUGUCUUGAAACACAGUUUAUCUUCUCUCCAUUGGUGCAUCCCAUAAGUGGCAAAGGCAAAAGCUGGACUGCAUUGUGUGGCCCCAGGGAGCUGCAGACAGAGGAACUGAGUCCUGGCCACUGUGCCUGCUGUCUCUUACAAGUUUAGAGAUGCUGGCAUUGCAUCGAAAUCGGACAACACUCCCUUCCCUCCCUUCCCAGAGCCGACAUCAGGAGAGGAAGAGAAAUGGGAAACUGAGGGCCAGGAGGGAAUUUGGGAACAUUUUCAAAUCCACCUACAGCUGUCAGCAGGACGCCGGCUCCCUAAACAGCUGUGGGUACAAAGGAUCCUGAAAUCCACUCCAAAAACUUAGAUCUCCCUCCCAGCUGCUUUGCAGGGCUCGGGGAGUUAAUGAUGAAGUUCUUCCUUAUGUCGAGCGCAGAGCUCCAGCCUUCUGAUUGGAUGAGUGCUGAAGAUUAGAAAACGGCUUCUUCGGAGGAACUCCAGAGACAUACUGCUGAGAAAAUGAAGUCAGCCAUUCACGAGAAUAUACCGUAUGAUUUGGCGUGAUUCUGUAGGGUUUCUGCACUUUAAUCCCUUUGUGAUCGCCGUAAAUAUGUUACAGGAAAGGGGUCCAGAUCCAGACCCCAAGAGAGGGUUCUCGGAUCU
This 1126-nucleotide long non-coding RNA is filed under the name Homo sapiens (human). RNAcentral's name for it is "HSALNT0339011". The record is from RNAcentral. Lineage: Eukaryota; Metazoa; Chordata; Mammalia; Primates; Hominidae.